RNAcentral lists this ribosomal RNA (460 nucleotides) under uncultured bacterium. RNAcentral's name for it is "bacterial SSU rRNA". It matches the Rfam family "Bacterial small subunit ribosomal RNA", at positions 29 to 506 of the family's 1533-position model. The record is from RNAcentral.
AUAAACGCUGGCGGCGUGCCUAAUACAUGGAAGUCGAACGGAGGUUUGUAGCAAUACUUACCUUAGUGGCGAAUGGGUGAGUAACGCGUUGGUGACCUGCCCCAAAGAGAGGGACAACAGUUCGAAAGGACUGCUAAUACCUCAUGUGGUUAUGGUGUUUAGAAAGCUAUAACUAAAGGAGCAAUCCGCUUUGGGAGGGGCCUGCGUCCCAUCAGCUAGUUGGUAGGGUAAUGGCCUACCAAGGCUACGACGGGUAGGGGACCUGAGAGGGUGGCCCCCCACACUGGCACUGAAACACGGGCCAGACACCUACGGGUGGCAGCAGUAGGGAAUAUUGCACAAUGGGCGAAAGCCUGAUGCAGCAACGCCGCGUGCACGAUGAAGGUCUUCGGAUCGUAAAGUGCUUUUUGGGGAGACGAGGAAGGACGGUAUCCUCAGAAUAAGGAUCGGCUAACUACGU